AGAGUUUGAUCCUGGCUCAGAUUGAACGCUGGCGGCAGGCCUAACACAUGCAAGUCGAGCGAGAAAGCACUUCGGUGUGAGUAGAGCGGCGGACGGGUGAGUAACGCGUAGGAAUUUGCCCAGUAGUGGGGGACAACAUGUGGAAACGCAUGCUAAUACCGCAUACGCCCUAUGGGGGAAAGCAGGGGAUCUUCGGACCUUGCGCUAUUGGAGAAGCCUGCGUCGGAUUAGCUAGUUGGUGGGGUAAAGGCCCACCAAGGCAACGAUCCGUAGCUGGUCUGAGAGGAUGAUCAGCCACACUGGAACUGAGACACGGUCCAGACUCCUACGGGAGGCAGCAGUGGGGAAUAUUGGACAAUGGGCGAAAGCCUGAUCCAGCCAUGCCGCGUGUGUGAAGAAGGCCUUAGGGUUGUAAAGCACUUUCAGUAGGGAGGAAAAGUUAGUCGUUAAUAACGGCUAGCCGUGACGUUACCUACAGAAGAAGCACCGCAAACU
Molecule: ribosomal RNA, 495 nt
Filed under: uncultured bacterium
Lineage: Bacteria
Description: bacterial SSU rRNA
Rfam family: Bacterial small subunit ribosomal RNA
Source: RNAcentral